AGCGAACGCUGGCGGCAGGCUUAACACAUGCUAGUCGAACGCCCCGCAAGGGGAGUGGCAGACGGGUGGGUGACACGUGGGAACGUACCCUUUGGUUCGGAAUAACUUGGGGAAACUCAAGCUAAUACCGGAUAAGCCCUUAUGGGGAAAGGUUUACUGCCGAAGGAUCGGCCCGCGUCUGAUUAGCUAGUUGGUGAGGUAAUGGCUCACCAAGGCGACGAUCAGUAGCUGGUCUGAGAGGAUGAUCAGCCACACUGGGACUGAGACACGGCCCAGACUCCUACGGGAGGCAGCAGUGGGGAAUAUUGGACAAUGGGGGCAACCCUGAUCCAGCCAUGCCGCGUGAGUGAUGAAGGCCUUAGGGUUGUAAAGCUCUUUUACCCGGGACGAUAAUGACUGUACCGGGAGAAUAAGCCCCGGCUAACUUCGUGCCAGCCGCCGCCGUAA
RNAcentral lists this ribosomal RNA (447 nucleotides) under uncultured bacterium. RNAcentral's name for it is "partial 16S ribosomal RNA". It matches the Rfam family "Bacterial small subunit ribosomal RNA", at positions 29 to 523 of the family's 1533-position model. The record is from RNAcentral.